CUGUCGUUACCCCACAGGGUAGAGCAGUUGACUUUUAAUCAAUUGGUCGCAGGUUCGAAUCCUGCACGACCCACCA
Molecule: transfer RNA, 76 nt
Filed under: Enterobacter cloacae
Lineage: Bacteria; Pseudomonadati; Pseudomonadota; Gammaproteobacteria; Enterobacterales; Enterobacteriaceae
Description: tRNA-Lys
Rfam family: tRNA
About the family: Transfer RNA (tRNA) molecules are approximately 80 nucleotides in length.
Source: RNAcentral